Molecule: long non-coding RNA, 1072 nt
Organism: Oreochromis niloticus (Nile tilapia)
Lineage: Eukaryota; Metazoa; Chordata; Actinopteri; Cichliformes; Cichlidae
Exons: 3
Source: RefSeq, a predicted model, not a curated record
GCCUUGUGCAUAUCAAAUACGGCGCGAAUCCUACCGGAGUAAUUAAUAUCGCACCGUGGUUAUGAAUUUCCUGGCAUAAACGACCAAUCGGAUUUGCAUGGCUUGCACGGCGGUAAUUAAGAUGAAGCAUCAGGGAAAACCGGUACGCGAAUCUUUCGGCUAAUUCUCCCCUCUGUGUUCCUUUCCCCUCUCCGAGGACUUCUCCUUUAGUCACAGCUUUCUUAAAUAUUUGCAGGGAAAACAAGGUGUUGACAUUUUGCCUUUUCAUUGUCAUGCAGCUCAGAGGAAACACGCUGGGAUAAUUUCACAGCUGUAACACAGACCACGCCGACUUAUUUCUUGCAGUCAUACUUAUUCUUCCUUAGGAGAAAAAAAAAGAAAAAGCGGGCCUUCGGCUUAUCGAAGGCAGGCGCAAAAUGGUUUUUCCGCAGGUCUUGAUUUUCACAUUUUUCUCUUUUAGUUUUGUUUGGAUAGCUCCGAGUGUGGCGGUGGGUUGGAUUUUCUGUUCUUCUUCUUUUAACCACCUCUGCUCCAUUACUGGUUACACUAGAUUGUAUUUCCCAUGCGGGGUUGGCCCCAAACCACUCAAAAGCCCAAAAGCUGUCAGCAUGGAUUGACAUCAGCUGGUUGUCAUCAGGUGCUGGCAGAUAUUGACCUUGUGGUAGUAGUGAGACAGCCAGUGAGACACGCGACGGUGUCAGGACGACACAUGGAGUCAUUGAUUGUUGCGGAGAAGAUAUUAGUGCAAUCAAUGCAACGUUUGCAGGAAGCGAAGCCCAUCAUCUCACUCUCUCACCUCACCUUUCGUCCAUGUCAAGGAGGAAGAGUGAACAUGCACGGCCAACAAACUGUGGGAUCUACGUCUCCUCCUGGGUUUGAAGCAGAGAUCUUUUGCUUGUUAAACCAUUGUUUAAACCAUUACACUGUGAAGCCAAUGAUGGGGCACAAUAUAGAAGCCAGUGUAUCUGUUCAUGCAAUAAAUCACUUAAAAAAAAAGAUGGGAAUAACUGUGGGUUAAUCUUUCUGUCAGUGUAUUGUGACUUUAGACCCUGUCCUCUGCACUUAACCCAUA